RNAcentral lists this ribosomal RNA (765 nucleotides) under uncultured Streptococcus sp. RNAcentral describes it as "bacterial SSU rRNA". It matches the Rfam family "Bacterial small subunit ribosomal RNA", at positions 28 to 776 of the family's 1533-position model. The record is from RNAcentral. Lineage: Bacteria; Bacillati; Bacillota; Bacilli; Lactobacillales; Streptococcaceae.
GAUGAACGCUGGCGGCGUGCCUAAUACAUGCAAGUAGAACGCUGAAGCUUGGUGCUUGCACCGAGUGGAAGAGUUGCGAACGGGUGAGUAACGCGUAGGUAACCUGCCUCUUAGCGGGGGAUAACUAUUGGAAACGAUAGCUAAUACCGCAUAAAAGUCGACAUUGCAUGAUGUUGACUUGAAAGGUGCAAAUGCAUCACUAAGAGAUGGACCUGCGUUGUAUUAGCUAGUUGGUGAGGUAACGGCUCACCAAGGCGACGAUACAUAGCCGACCUGAGAGGGUGAUCGGCCACACUGGGACUGAGACACGGCCCAGACUCCUACGGGAGGCAGCAGUAGGGAAUCUUCGGCAAUGGACGGAAGUCUGACCGAGCAACGCCGCGUGAGUGAAGAAGGUUUUCGGAUCGUAAAGCUCUGUUGUAAGAGAAGAACGAGUGUGAGAGUGGAAAGUUCACACUGUGACGGUAACUUACCAGAAAGGGACGGCUAACUACGUGCCAGCAGCCGCGGUAAUACGUAGGUCCCGAGCGUUGUCCGGAUUUAUUGGGCGUAAAGCGAGCGCAGGCGGUUUGAUAAGUCUGAAGUUAAAGGCUGUGGCUCAACCAUAGUUCGCUUUGGAAACUGUCAAACUUGAGUGCAGAAGGGGAGAGUGGAAUUCCAUGUGUAGCGGUGAAAUGCGUAGAUAUAUGGAGGAACACCGGUGGCGAAAGCGGCUCUCUGGUCUGUAACUGACGCUGAGGCUCGAAAGCGUGGGGAGCGAACAGG